AUGCUAAGGGAUUGCAGGAGACAGGCAAGCGGGCGGCGCAAUCAGCAGCAGUCCAGGGAAAAACAGUUCGAGUCCCCCCAGAGGGAUCAGGGGUCCAUCGCGCCGCCACCUCCCCUCUGUCUCUUUCCGGCAACGAGGGCGACCCCAGGCCCCGGGAGGAGGGGAGGACGGGGCAGAGUCCGCCAAGGCCACAGGCCUCCUGUUUGCCUGCCUGUCUGUCUGUCUCCUCCUGGGGCGGCCGCCUGGCCGAGCUCGGCUCCCGGCGACUGCAGCUUUCUUCCCGAUCGGCGUCAGCUCCCGGGCCCGGGCCCCCGCCCCGGCCCCCUUCCCCCCUCCUCCUCCUCCCCGUACACGGAGUCCCGCUGGGAGGAGACACGAGCACCCCGCAAACCUAGGAUCUCGGGCUCCAAAAUCGACGAUGGCGACGUCUCCUUCUUCAGCCGGUUAGCCCUUCAGCAGCGACAAGUCCGGCCAGUCACUAUGGCGGCCGCGGCUCUACUCAGCCAGAGCGCCCCAGUGCGGGGUCUCUUAAGCAGGGGCUGCACGGGCUCCGCGCGGAAGGCGGGGACACGGAAAGGGGGCGGAGCCUCGUCGCGUCACAAAGCUCGCUGUCCCCUGCCACGUGACCCGGCGCAUUAUGACAACCUAGGGCAGAACCUGUUUGGAAAAAGGAAGCGACCAUAUGACUUGGAGUGGGGUGGGAAAGCGGGAAAGGGGAGUGGCUCAUUGGAGGAGAAGAGGGGUGAGGUGGGGAGAAGUGAAAGAAAGAGACAUUCAUUGGUGAACAGAAACAAAACCGAAGGGGCUUCUAGUGGCCACCUCACUCAGAAACGACUGACCGCAUUUACGGUUGCGCAACCAACCAACAAACGUUCAGUGGUUCCCGACUCUUACUCACAUCACGGCCCAUACUGUCCGUGAGGUUUUCUUGGUAAAGAUAUUGGAGUGGUUUGCUAUUUCCUUCUACCGUGGAUUAAAGCAAAAAGAGGCUAAAUGACUAGUCCAGAGUCACACAGUGAGUGUCAGAGGUCAAAUUUGAACUCGGGUCUUUUAAGACUCCACGCUCCGGCACUCUAUCCACUGAACCCCCUAGCUACAUCCUAUUUAAGUGCUUAUUAUGCGUAGUUCGUGUAUAGAAGGAAAAAAUAAACACUUCUCCUUCAAGAAGCGUACA
RNAcentral lists this long non-coding RNA (1174 nucleotides) under Monodelphis domestica (gray short-tailed opossum). RNAcentral's name for it is "lncRNA (ENSMODG00000051125.1)". Lineage: Eukaryota; Metazoa; Chordata; Mammalia; Didelphimorphia; Didelphidae. The record is from RNAcentral.